This 1430-nucleotide ribosomal RNA is filed under the name Rupirana cardosoi. Its description in RNAcentral is "partial 16S ribosomal RNA". It matches the Rfam family "Bacterial large subunit ribosomal RNA", at positions 23 to 2596 of the family's 2925-position model. The record is from RNAcentral. Lineage: Eukaryota; Metazoa; Chordata; Amphibia; Anura; Leptodactylidae.
GCUAAAAAUCUAGCCCAACCCACCCCAAUGACUACUCUAUUUUUAUAAUUACAAAUUAAAACAUUCUAACACCAUAGUAAAGGAGAUUGAAAAACUACUUGGAGCAAUAUUUAUAGUACCGCAAGGGAAAAAUGAAAUAAAAAUGAAAUAAAUAUUAAGCAUAACAAAAUAGAGACUAACCCUCGUACCUUUCGCAUCAUGGUUUAACUAGUUUAAUCAAGCAAAAAGACUUAAAGUUUGACCUCCCGAAACUUAGCGAGCUACUUCAAGGCAGCUUAAAGAGCGAACCCGUCUCUGUUGCAAAAGAGUGGGAUGACCUUCAAGUAGGGGUGACAGACCUACCGAGCUAAGUGAUAGCUGGUUACUCAGGAAAAGGAUUUUAGUCCACCCUAAAAUUAAUUAAAGUGUAUUUAAACAAAAACAUAAUUUUAGAGACAUUCAAAUAAGGUACAGCCUAUUUGAACCAGGAUACAACCUACACCAAUGGGUAAUAUCUGCGCUAUUUUAUUUAACCAAGUGGGCCUAAAAGCAGCCAUCUUUUAAAAAGCGUCACAGCUUAAUUUUAUUAAAGCAUAAUUCCCUUAUAUUUUUUUAAACCCUUCAACAGUACUGAGUAAUUCUAUAUACCUAUAGAACAUUUUAUGUUAAAACUAGUAACAAGAAGAAGACCUUCUCUUUUAAUGCAAGUGUAAAUCAGACAGGACCCACCACUGAUAAUUAUCACCACUGAAUACAAAGUAAUAACAAUUCAAGAAAACCCUACUACCCAAAGAUGUUAACCUAACACAAGAGCAUUACAAGAAAGAUUAAAAGAAAAAGAAGGAACUCGGCAAAUAUUAACCUCGCCUGUUUACCAAAAACAUCGCCUCUUGACUACCUAUAAGAGGUCCAGCCUGCCCAGUGACUCUGUUCAACGGCCGCGGUAUCCUAACCGUGCGAAGGUAGCGUAAUCACUUGUUCUUUAAAUGAGGACUAGUAUGAACGGCACCACGAGGGUUAUACUGUCUCCUUUUUCUAAUCAGUGAAACUAAUCUUCCCGUGAAGAAGCGGGAAUAAACCUAUAAGACGAGAAGACCCUAUGGAGCUUUAAACUAUAUAACACUUGCCAUACCUGCAACCAAUUCCAGAAGAUUAAAUUUUACCCUGGCAUUAUGAUUAUUAGUUUUAGGUUGGGGUGACCGCGGAGCAAAAAAUAACCUCCACAAUGAAAGGACCUUUCACCUAAGUUAAGGACUACAAUCCUAAACAUCAACAACUUGACAUUAAUUGACCCAAGAUAUUGAUCAACGAACCAAGUUACCCUAGGGAUAACAGCGCAAUCCACUUCAAGAGCCCCUAUCGACAAGUGGGUUUACGACCUCGAUGUUGGAUCAGGGUAUCCCAGUGGUGCAGCCGCUACUAAAGGUUCGUUUGUUCAACGAUUAAAACCC